AGCGAACGCUGGCGGCAUGCCUAACACAUGCAAGUCGAACGAGACCUUCGGGUCUAGUGGCGCACGGGUGCGUAACGCGUGGGAAUCUGCCCUUGGGUUCGGAAUAACAGUUGGAAACGACUGCUAAUACCGGAUGAUGACGUAAGUCCAAAGAUUUAUCGCCCAAGGAUGAGCCCGCGUAAGAUUAGCUAGUUGGUGAGGUAAAGGCUCACCAAGGCGACGAUCCUUAGCUGGUCUGAGAGGAUGAUCAGCCACACUGGGACUGAGACACGGCCCAGACUCCUACGGGAGGCAGCAGUGGGGAAUAUUGGACAAUGGGCGAAAGCCUGAUCCAGCAAUGCCGCGUGAGUGAUGAAGGCCUUAGGGUUGUAAAGCUCUUUUACCCGGGAUGAUAAUGACAGUACCGGGAGAAUAAGCGCCGGCUAACUCCGUG
Molecule: ribosomal RNA, 433 nt
Filed under: uncultured bacterium
Lineage: Bacteria
Description: partial 16S ribosomal RNA
Rfam family: Bacterial small subunit ribosomal RNA
Source: RNAcentral